This 82-nucleotide transfer RNA is filed under the name Planctomycetota bacterium. RNAcentral's name for it is "Planctomycetes bacterium (activated sludge metagenome) tRNA-Leu". It matches the Rfam family "tRNA". From Rfam's summary of the family: Transfer RNA (tRNA) molecules are approximately 80 nucleotides in length. Their secondary structure includes four short double-helical elements and three loops (D, anti-codon, and T loops). Further hydrogen bonds mediate the characteristic L-shaped molecular structure. tRNAs have two regions of fundamental functional importance: the anti-codon, which is responsible for specific mRNA codon recognition, and the 3' end, to which the tRNAs corresponding amino acid is attached (by aminoacyl-tRNA synthetases). tRNAs cope with the degeneracy of the genetic code in two manners: having more than one tRNA (with a specific anti-codon) for a particular amino acid; and 'wobble' base-pairing, i.e. permitting non-standard base-pairing at the 3rd anti-codon position. The record is from RNAcentral. Lineage: Bacteria; Pseudomonadati; Planctomycetota.
GGGCGAGUGGCGGAACUGGCAGACGCGCAGGAUUUAGGUUCCUGUCUCGCGAGAGGUGGGGGUUCGAGUCCCCCCUCGCCCA